AACGAACGCUGGCGGCAUGCCUAACACAUGCAAGUCGAACGAAGCCUUCGGGCUUAGUGGCGCACGGGUGCGUAACGCGUGGGAAUCUGCCCUUGGGUUCGGAAUAACAGUUAGAAAUGACUGCUAAUACCGGAUGAUGUCUUCGGACCAAAGAUUUAUCGCCCAAGGAUGAGCCCGCGUAGGAUUAGGUAGUUGGUGGGGUAAUGGCCCACCAAGCCGACGAUCCUUAACUGGUCUGAGAGGAUGAUCAGCCACACUGGGACUGAGACACGGCCCAGACUCCUACGGGGGGCAGCAGUGGGGAAUAUUGGACAAUGGGCGAAAGCCUGAUCCAGCAAUGCCGCGUGAGUGAUGAAGGCCUUAGGGUUGUAAAGCUCUUUUACCAGGGAUGAUAAUGACAGUACCUGGAGAAUAAGCUCCGGCUAACUCCGUGCCAGCAGCCGCCGUAA
RNAcentral lists this ribosomal RNA (449 nucleotides) under uncultured bacterium. Its description in RNAcentral is "partial 16S ribosomal RNA". It matches the Rfam family "Bacterial small subunit ribosomal RNA", at positions 29 to 523 of the family's 1533-position model. The record is from RNAcentral.